RNAcentral lists this ribosomal RNA (354 nucleotides) under Salmonella enterica subsp. enterica serovar Typhimurium. RNAcentral describes it as "partial 23S ribosomal RNA". It matches the Rfam family "Bacterial large subunit ribosomal RNA", at positions 2589 to 2925 of the family's 2925-position model. The record is from RNAcentral. Lineage: Bacteria; Pseudomonadati; Pseudomonadota; Gammaproteobacteria; Enterobacterales; Enterobacteriaceae.
UAAAGUGGUACGCGAGCUGGGUUUAGAACGUCGUGAGACAGUUCGGUCCCUAUCUGCCGUGGGCGCUGGAGAACUGAGGGGGGCUGCUCCUAGUACGAGAGGACCGGAGUGGACGCAUCACUGGUGUUCGGGUUGUCAUGCCAAUGGCACUGCCCGGUAGCUAAAUGCGGAAGAGAUAAGUGCUGAAAGCAUCUAAGCACGAAACUUGCCCCGAGAUGAGUUCUCCCUGAGACUUUAGGUCUCCUGAAGGAACGUUGAAGACGACGACGUUGAUAGGCCGGGUGUGUAAGCGCAGCGAUGCGUUGAGCUAACCGGUACUAAUGAACCGUGAGGCUUAACCUUACAACGCCGAAG